This 188-nucleotide unclassified non-coding RNA is filed under the name uncultured fungus. Its description in RNAcentral is "sequence contains ITS1". Lineage: Eukaryota; Fungi. The record is from RNAcentral.
GUAUUUGAAUUGUUUAUUCAUAAUAUUUUUCAGACAAACAGUUAAGAUAUGGGUUGAUGUUUGACCAAGUCUUUUUUUCAUUACAAAAAAAAGACCGGUCUGACAUUGCACACAAGGUGGAUAUGGAUUUAAAAAGUGCCAUAAAACACUUAUUAUGAAUGAUCCUUCCGCAGGUUCACCUACGGAAA